Vigna unguiculata (cowpea) is the source of this 97-nucleotide small nucleolar RNA. The record is from RefSeq and is a predicted model, not a curated record. NCBI's taxonomy places the organism in Eukaryota, Viridiplantae, Streptophyta, Magnoliopsida, Fabales, Fabaceae.
UGUGUCAGUGACGAUAAAUGUAAUCCCAACUCAUUAUGAGACCUUCACCAUUGCAAGGUCCGAGAAUAGAAUUUUCCACAUUUUUUUGAGCCACUUU